This 379-nucleotide unclassified non-coding RNA is filed under the name uncultured fungus. RNAcentral describes it as "sequence contains ITS1". The stretch from base 1 to 104 matches the Rfam family "5.8S ribosomal RNA", at positions 50 to 154 of the family's 154-position model. Lineage: Eukaryota; Fungi. The record is from RNAcentral.
AAAGUACGAUAUCUUAAGUGAAUCGCAACUAGCGCGACUCUUUAAAAUUUUGAACGCAUAGUGUGCCCUUGUGUAACAGCUUGGGCGUAUUUGUAUGAGCGCCAUUUAUAAAAUAUCAUAGCUUCCUGCUGUGGCAGUGGAUGUUGCAAUCUUUUGAUUGAAUCAUCUGAAAACAUUGAGAAAGCAAUGGGAGUGGUCUUUACAGGUCAUGACCUUGCAAUUCUUUCAGUGGUAAGAGUAUUCCUCAUUAUACUGAAGAGUUGUCUGAGUAAACUGUUGCUGUAUCAGUUCAGUUACAUAUUGAUCAUUCAGUUGGUCUGUGUAGUUGACAACCUACAAUCUUGGCUUCAUAUCAAGUACGAUUACCCGCUGAAUUUAA